This 484-nucleotide ribosomal RNA is filed under the name uncultured bacterium. RNAcentral's name for it is "partial 16S ribosomal RNA". It matches the Rfam family "Bacterial small subunit ribosomal RNA", at positions 30 to 507 of the family's 1533-position model. The record is from RNAcentral.
AUUGAACGCUGGCGGCAGGCCUAACACAUGCAAGUCGAGCGGAUGAAGGGAGCUUGCUCCUGGAUUCAGCGGCGGACGGGUGAGUAAUGCCUAGGAAUCUGCCUGGUAGUGGGGGAUAACGUCCGGAGACGGGCGCUAAUACCGCAUACGUCCUGAGGGAGAAAGUGGGGGAUCUUCGGACCUCACACUAUCAGAUGAGCCUAGGUCGGAUUAGCUAGUUGGUGGGGUAAAGGCCUACCAAGGCGACGAUCCGUAACUGGUCUGAGAGGAUGAUCAGUCACACUGGAACUGAGACACGGUCCAGACUCCUACGGGAGGCAGCAGUGGGGAAUAUUGGACAAUGGGCGAAAGCCUGAUCCAGCCAUGCCGCGUGUGUGAAGAAGGUCUUCGGAUUGUAAAGCACUUUAAGUUGGGAGGAAGGGCAGUAAGUUAAUACCUUGCUGUUUUGACGUUACCAACAGAAUAAGCACCGGCUAACUUCGUG